Molecule: ribosomal RNA, 909 nt
Filed under: uncultured bacterium
Lineage: Bacteria
Description: bacterial SSU rRNA
Rfam family: Bacterial small subunit ribosomal RNA
Source: RNAcentral
ACGCUAGCUACAGGCUUAACACAUGCAAGUCGAGGGGAAACGGCAUUAAGUGCUUGCACUUUUUGGACGUCGACCGGCGCACGGGUGAGUAACGCGUAUCCAACCUUCCCAUGACUAAGGGAUAACCUGCCGAAAGGCAGACUAAUACCUUAUGGUCUUCACUGACGGCAUCAGAUGUGAAGUAAAGAUUUAUCGGUUAUGGAUGGGGAUGCGUCUGAUUAGCUUGUUGGCGGGGUAACGGCCCACCAAGGCAACGAUCAGUAGGGGGUCUGAGAGGAAGGUCCCCCACAUUGGAACUGAGACACGGUCCAAACUCCUACGGGAGGCAGCAGUGAGGAAUAUUGGUCAAUGGGCGAGAGCCUGAACCAGCCAAGUAGCGUGCAGGAAGACGGCCCUAUGGGUUGUAAACUGCUUUUGUAUGGGGAUAAAGUCAAUCACGUGUGAUUGUUUGCAGGUACCAUACGAAUAAGGACCGGCUAAUUCCGUGCCAGCAGCCGCGGUAAUACGGAAGGUCCGGGCGUUAUCCGGAUUUAUUGGGUUUAAAGGGAGCGUAGGCUGGAGAUUAAGUGUGUUGUGAAAUGUAGACGCUCAACGUCUGACUUGCAGCGCAUACUGGUUUCCUUGAGUACGCACAACGUUGGCGGAAUUCGUCGUGUAGCGGUGAAAUGCUUAGAUAUGACGAAGAACUCCGAUUGCGAAGGCAGCUGACGGGAGCGCAACUGACGCUGAAGCUCGAAGGUGCGGGUAUCGAACAGGAUUAGAUACCCUGGUAGUCCGCACAGUAAACGAUGGAUGCCCGCUGUUGGUACCUGGUAUCAGCGGCUAAGCGAAAGCAUUAAGCAUCCCACCUGGGGAGUACGCCGGCAACGGUGAAACUCAAAGGAAUUGACGGGGGCCCGCACAAGCGGA